UCUGCCCAUCUCAGCCUCCCAAAGUGCUGGGAUUACAGGCAUGAGCCACUGCGCCUGGCCUCAGGCAUUUACACAUUUUCAAAUAUCCCUCCUUGCUCUGCUCCCCUGGGUGUGUUCCCAGCUCUAAUGAACCUCAACUUCUCUGCGGUGCUAUGCUUUCCACCCUCAAAGACUGGAGGGCAGCUUGCCCUGGACUUCCUUCCCCAGUCAAGAGUAAUUAGCUCCUUCCAUCAUUUCAAGGAACUGUGCUAGGCCACCACAUGCUGAAUAGGCUCUCUCUAGUCUUUGUAAUCCACCUUCUCAGAUCGAUGAUAGUGGCUGAAUAAAUAUUGCAAGGAAUAAUAGCUGAGCUGUCACCUAUUGACACCUGAGGACAGGAGACUGUGGUAGUGCCACACUGUUGGCUUGUGCAGGUGGAUGAACCGGGGAAUGACGACAAGGUCAAAUUGGGGCCCUUGACCCAGAGGAUCAAAUUCAGGUUGAAUGGCAUGAAGGUAGGGACUGAGAUGAAGGGGGAGUAUUUGCAUCAAGACUGAGGGAUGGCCAAGCAUGGUGGCCUCAUGCCUGUCAUCCUAGCACUUUGGGAGGCCGAGGCAGGAGGAUCACUUGAGCUCAGGAGUUCGAGGCCAGCCUGGGCAAUAUAGUGAGACCCAGUCUCAAAAAGUUGGGGGGAUGACAAAUUGAGGUUGCACUGAGCAAACCAUCUUAACGUUUGGCUAAGGCAUCGUUUCCAUGCAUUGGGACUUAAUUGGUUUUUCCUCUUCUCCAAAGUUCAGAUCUUUUCCUGCUGACCCUUUGAUUUCAAAUGUGCAGAGGGGUGUCUCGGAACAAAAGCCAGAACUGGAACCCAUAUGGACCUUGACAGAGACCAGGCCUUCAGCCCUGGCGGAACUUUGCAUGAAUAGAGAACUACUGUGAAGACAAGAGGCUGGGAGAUGAAUGGGGGCAGUGGGACCCCGUGGCACACUGGCAAUCCCUGGUCACCCCUGCUCGGAACCCACCAAAGAUGGCCUGAGCAUUGGCGUAAAAUACUCCUUUCUGAGGAGGUGGCGUCCAAGCAGACACCUGAAAGAUGGGAAGCAACAGCCCAGCUUGGGGAAAGGACAAUUCAGGGUCUCACUCUGUCACCUAAGCUGGAGUGCAGUGGU
RNAcentral lists this long non-coding RNA (1148 nucleotides) under Homo sapiens (human). RNAcentral's name for it is "HSALNT0385018". Lineage: Eukaryota; Metazoa; Chordata; Mammalia; Primates; Hominidae. The record is from RNAcentral.